GACGAACGCUGGCGGCGUGCUUAACACAUGCAAGUCGAACGGAAAGGCCCUGCUUUUGUGGGGUGCUCGAGUGGCGAACGGGUGAGUAACACGUGAGUAACCUGCCCUUGACUUUGGGAUAACUUCAGGAAACUGGGGCUAAUACCGGAUAGGAGCUCCUGCUGCAUGGUGGGGGUUGGAAAGUUUCGGCGGUUGGGGAUGGACUCGCGGCUUAUCAGCUUGUUGGUGGGGGAGUGGCUUACCAAGGCUUUGACGGGUAGCCGGCCUGGGAGGGUGACCGGGCACAUUGGGACUGAGGUACGGCCCAGACUCCUACGGGAGGCAGCAGUGGGGAAUAUUGCACAAUGGGCGGAAGCCUGAUGCAGCAACGCCGCGUGCGGGAUGACGGCCUUCGGGUUGUAAACCGCUUUCGCCUGUGACGAAGCGUGAGUGACGGUAAUGGGUAAAGAAGCACCGGCUAACUACGUG
Molecule: ribosomal RNA, 468 nt
Filed under: uncultured bacterium
Lineage: Bacteria
Description: partial 16S ribosomal RNA
Rfam family: Bacterial small subunit ribosomal RNA
Source: RNAcentral